GAUGAACGCUGGCGGCGUGCCUAGUACAUGCAAGUCGAGCGAACAGACGAGGAGCUUGCUCCUCUGACGUUAGCGGCGGACGGGUGAGUAACACGUGGAUAACCUACCUAUAAGACUGGGAUAACUUCGGGAAACCGGAGCUAAUACCGGAUGAUAUAUUGAACCGCAUGGUUCAAUAGUGAAAGACGGUUUUGCUGUCACUUAUAGAUGGAUCCGCGCCGCAUUAGCUAGUUGGUAAGGUAACGGCUUACCAAGGCAACGAUGCGUAGCCGACCUGAGAGGGUGAUCGGCCACACUGGAACUGAGACACGGUCCAGACUCCUACGGGAGGCAGCAGUAGGGAAUCUUCCGCAAUGGGCGAAAGCCUGACGGAGCAACGCCGCGUGAGUGAUGAAGGUCUUCGGAUCGUAAAACUCUGUUAUUAGGGAAGAACAAAUGUGUAAGUAACUAUGCACGUCUUGACGGUACCUAAUCAGAAAGCCACGGCUAACUACGUG
RNAcentral lists this ribosomal RNA (497 nucleotides) under uncultured bacterium. RNAcentral describes it as "partial 16S ribosomal RNA". It matches the Rfam family "Bacterial small subunit ribosomal RNA", at positions 28 to 507 of the family's 1533-position model. The record is from RNAcentral.